GUCUAGUGCUUCUGCUAGCUUUAUUAUUAGUUGUGUGAUUUUUCUUAAUUGAAAAAAAGAAAAGAAGGGAGGAUAGAAGGAAGGGAGGAAGAAAGAAAAAAGAAGAAAAGAGAAAUAUCCCACCAAUUCAAGUCGAAACGUAUUCUCUUCCUGUCUCUCUAUCUUCUCCAAGCUCUGAAAAGUCUUGUCCUGGAUCCAGUUCACACGUACAGGUGGUGAGGCAGGAGGGAAUAUCCGCCUGAAUUCAAGACCAGGAGUGGGUGAACAUAUUCCUUCUGAUUUGCCAUCAUCUCCAGGAAAUUGCUGUGGUCU
This 312-nucleotide long non-coding RNA is filed under the name Ictidomys tridecemlineatus (thirteen-lined ground squirrel). RNAcentral describes it as "lncRNA (ENSSTOG00000031555.1)". The record is from RNAcentral. Lineage: Eukaryota; Metazoa; Chordata; Mammalia; Rodentia; Sciuridae.